UACACACCUUAUUACCUCAUUCAGCCCAUUAUUCUUAAAUAAGCUUACUAAUAAAUCCACCUUCAGUAAAAUUUUAAUUUUAAACAUCCGUUUUCUUAAAAAAAUUGUAGCUCAUCUCUACCUUUAUAUAAA
This 132-nucleotide ribosomal RNA is filed under the name Daphnia barbata. Its description in RNAcentral is "partial 12S ribosomal RNA". The record is from RNAcentral. Lineage: Eukaryota; Metazoa; Arthropoda; Branchiopoda; Diplostraca; Daphniidae.